This 498-nucleotide ribosomal RNA is filed under the name uncultured bacterium. RNAcentral's name for it is "partial 16S ribosomal RNA". It matches the Rfam family "Bacterial small subunit ribosomal RNA", at positions 28 to 507 of the family's 1533-position model. The record is from RNAcentral.
GACGAACGCUGGCGGCGUGCCUAAUACAUGCAAGUCGAACGAGAGCGACCGGUGCUUGCACUGGUCAAUCUAGUGGCGAACGGGUGAGUAACACGUGGGUAACCUGCCCAUCAGAGGGGGAUAACAUCCGGAAACGGAUGCUAAAACCGCAUAGGUCUUCGAGCCGCAUGGCUUGAAGAGGAAAAGAGGCGCAAGCUUCUGCUGAUGGAUGGACCCGCGGUGCAUUAGCUAGUUGGUGAGGUAACGGCUCACCAAGGCCGUGAUGCAUAGCCGACCUGAGAGGGUGAUCGGCCACAUUGGGGCUGAGACACGGCCCAAACUCCUACGGGAGGCAGCAGUAGGGAAUCUUCCGCAAUGGACGCAAGUCUGACGGAGCAACGCCGCGUGAGUGAAGAAGGUUUUCGGAUCGUAAAACUCUGUUGUUAGAGAAGAACAAGUGCUAGAGUAACUGUUAGCGCCUUGACGGUAUCUAACCAGAAAGCCACGGCUAACUACGUG